GACGAACGCUGGCGGCGUGGACUUAAGCAUGCAAGUCGAACGGAGAUACGAUUUCGGUUGUAUCUUAGUGGCGAACGGGUGAGUAACGCGUGAGCAACCUGACUCUUAGAGGGGGAUAACACCUGGAAACAAGUGCUAAUACCGCAUAAGACCACGACCCGACAUCGGGAUGAGGUCAAAGGAGCAAUCCGCUGAGAGAGGGGCUCGCGUCCCAUUAGAUAGAUGGCGGGGUAACGGCCCACCAUGUCCGCGAUGGGUAGCCGAGCUGAGAGGCUGAUCGGCCACACUGGAACUGAGACACGGUCCAGACUCCCACGGGAGGCAGCAGUGGGGAAUAUUGGGCAAUGGGCGCAAGCCUGACCCAGCAACGCCGCGUGAGGGAAGAAGGCUUUCGGGUUGUAAACCUCUGUCCUUGGUGACGAAAAAUGACGGUAGCCAAGGAGGAAGCCCCGGCUAACUACGUG
Molecule: ribosomal RNA, 464 nt
Filed under: uncultured bacterium
Lineage: Bacteria
Description: bacterial SSU rRNA
Rfam family: Bacterial small subunit ribosomal RNA
Source: RNAcentral